Molecule: ribosomal RNA, 392 nt
Filed under: uncultured bacterium
Lineage: Bacteria
Description: bacterial SSU rRNA
Rfam family: Bacterial small subunit ribosomal RNA
Source: RNAcentral
AGUGAACGCUGGCGGCAGGCCUAACACAUGCAAGUCGAGCGGCAGCACGGCAAUAGCAAUAUUGUGGGUGGCGAGCGGCGGACGGGUGAGGAAUGCAUCGGGAUCUACCCUGUCGUGGGGGACAACGUAGGGAAACUUACGCUAAUACCGCAUGAUCUGGAGACAGCAAAGCCGGGGACCUUCGGGCCUGGCGCGAUGGGAUGAGCCGAUGUCCGAUUAGCUAGUUGGCGGGGUAAAGGCCCACCAAGGCGACGAUCGGUAGCUGGUCUGAGAGGACGACCAGCCACACUGGAACUGAGACACGGUCCAGACUCCUACGGGAGGCAGCAGUGGGGAAUAUUGGACAAUGGGGGCAACCCUGAUCCAGCCAUGCCGCGUGGGUGAAGAAGGCC